RNAcentral lists this transfer RNA (84 nucleotides) under Cordylochernes scorpioides. Its description in RNAcentral is "tRNA-Thr". Lineage: Eukaryota; Metazoa; Arthropoda; Arachnida; Pseudoscorpiones; Chernetidae. The record is from RNAcentral.
AAAAUAAAGCCUAGUGGACAUGGCAUCUUCCCGGUAAGCGGAACACUGUGGGUUCGAUUCCCAUCCCUGGACACUUUUAUUUUU